CACGUAGGGCGCGAGCGUUGUCCGGAAUUACUGGGCGUAAAGAGCUCGUAGGUGGUUUGUCGCGUUGUUCGUGAAAACUCACAGCUCAACUGUGGGCGUGCGGGCGAUACGGGCAGACUGGAGUACUGCAGGGGAGACUGGAAUUCCUGGUGUAGCGGUGGAAUGCGCAGAUAUCAGGAGGAACACCGGUGGCGAAGGCGGGUCUCUGGGCAGUAACUGACGCUGAGGAGCGAAAGCGUGGGGAGCGAACGG
RNAcentral lists this ribosomal RNA (252 nucleotides) under uncultured bacterium. Its description in RNAcentral is "partial 16S ribosomal RNA". It matches the Rfam family "Bacterial small subunit ribosomal RNA", at positions 524 to 775 of the family's 1533-position model. The record is from RNAcentral.